UACGGAGGAUGCGAGCGUUAUCCGGAUUUAUUGGGUUUAAAGGGUGCGUAGGCGGGCUUUUAAGUCAGCGGUAAAAAUUCGGGGCUCAACCCCGUCCGGCCGUUGAAACUGGGGGCCUUGAGUGGGCGAGGAGAAGGCGGAAUGCGUGGUGUAGCGGUGAAAUGCAUAGAUAUCACGCAGAACCCCGAUUGCGAAGGCAGCCUUCCGGCGCCCUACUGACGCUGAGGCACGAAAGUGCGGGGAUCGAACAGG
RNAcentral lists this ribosomal RNA (252 nucleotides) under uncultured bacterium. RNAcentral's name for it is "partial 16S ribosomal RNA". It matches the Rfam family "Bacterial small subunit ribosomal RNA", at positions 524 to 776 of the family's 1533-position model. The record is from RNAcentral.